Molecule: ribosomal RNA, 309 nt
Filed under: uncultured eukaryote
Lineage: Eukaryota
Description: partial 18S ribosomal RNA
Rfam family: Eukaryotic small subunit ribosomal RNA
Source: RNAcentral
CCCUUAGAUGUUCUGGGCGGCCCGCGCACUACAAUGGCGUGUGCAGCGAGUGCCGAAGUAGAGUUUUCCGAGGUAUUCUUGCAAUGCUCGUUUUGAUGGGGAUAGACCCUUGCAACUGUUGGUUUUGAACGAGGAAUUCCUUGUAAGCAUGGUUUAUCAUCCGACGCUGAAUGCGUCCCUGCCCUUUGUACACACCGCCCGUCGCUCCUACCGAUGAGUCGUCCGGUGAAGUUCGUAGACCUCGUGAUCGCGGAUCACUGGGGGAAGCAAGAUGAACCUCGCGGUUUAGAGGAAGGAGAAGUCGUAACA